UAACGCGUGGGUAACCUGCCUCAUACAGGGGGAUAACGAUUGGAAACGAUUGCUAAUACCGCAUAAGCGCACAGCACCACAUGGUGCAGUGUGAAAAACUCCGGUGGUAUGAGAUGGACCCGCGUCUGAUUAGCUAGUUGGUGAGGUAACGGCCCACCAAGGCAACGAUCAGUAGCCGACCUGAGAGGGUGACCGGCCACAUUGGGACUGAGACACGGCCCAG
RNAcentral lists this ribosomal RNA (223 nucleotides) under uncultured bacterium. RNAcentral's name for it is "partial 16S ribosomal RNA". It matches the Rfam family "Bacterial small subunit ribosomal RNA", at positions 111 to 334 of the family's 1533-position model. The record is from RNAcentral.